Molecule: ribosomal RNA, 252 nt
Filed under: uncultured bacterium
Lineage: Bacteria
Description: partial 16S ribosomal RNA
Rfam family: Bacterial small subunit ribosomal RNA
Source: RNAcentral
UACAUGGGGUGCAAACGUUGCUCGGAAUUAUUGGGCGUAAAGCGCACGUAGGCGGUUUGUUAAGUCGGAUGUGAAAUCCCUCGGCUCAACUGAGGAAGUGCAUCCGAAACUGGCAGGCUUGAGUACUAAAGAGGGUCGCGGAAUUCCCGGUGUAGAGGUGAAAUUCGUAGAUAUCGGGAGGAACACCGGUGGCGAAGGCGGCGACCUGGGUAGAUACUGACGCUGAGGUGCGAAAGCGUGGGGAGCAACAGG